GUAAAAAGGCAAUACAUUGGACAGCCCCGGUCCUCCGAGGCAGCAAAGCCUCAAGGUCACACGGGAUAAAUUGCCGAGCGAUUACAGUCUCCUUGCGUUAGUUGCGUGGGAGGAAGGGCUUUUUGCGCCUGCGCAGCUAGUACCCUUCUCUAUGCCUGAAGCAUUUCUGCCCAGGGAGUGGCGUAAAAACGGGGGUGGAGUCUAACCACAGCAGUCAUUGGAUGCCCCAGGGCGUCCUGACUCCCUGGCCUGAGCUGGGUGUUUGCUCUCAGUAUUAAAGGCAGCCAAUAGAACACCAGUACUCAAAACCUUGGAGAACAGCACCUGUAUAUGAGUGGCCAGGUGUCUGCAGGUUAACUUAAUGAGAAGUAGUAACUGAGUCCCUGAACCCAAAUGCAGCUCUUUCCUGUUCAGGUACUCUGCUCUUGGAUGUGCUCCCAGUGGCUGAAGAGGCUUCAGUUUUCCUGAUGCAUAAAGUGUUGUUCUAUUUUAUGAGUAGGACAUCAUUUUCAUGAGUUAGAACAACUACAUUGGGACAAGUAGACAUAGGGUAUUAUCAGAGCUGAAGGGCAGAACUGGACAAAUCUCAGACACAUUUCAGAAAUCAAGAGACUUAAUAAUUAGUUAUUAAAGUUGGAAGUGGGUUCCCCACAUUCCUUUUUCCAAGUAAUUUUCCUACCCCUACUUAUAUUUUCAGGUUUCUUCGGUUGCCCCCAGGUAUUGGAGUGCUGGUGUUCUAUAUUCUUAAAGUCCAGGGAGGGCAGAAUGCUGUUCAGGAGCUCUGCAGAGGAGAGAGGGACAGGGGUACGGGGAGAGAUUUGCUGCAUUUCUAAAAUAUCUCUGAAAACAAGCUGUAUUUC
Long non-coding RNA from Phyllostomus discolor (pale spear-nosed bat), 860 nucleotides. RefSeq lists it as uncharacterized. The transcript is spliced from 3 exons. NCBI's taxonomy places the organism in Eukaryota, Metazoa, Chordata, Mammalia, Chiroptera, Phyllostomidae. The record is from RefSeq and is a predicted model, not a curated record.